AGCUUUGUGCAGUGGCAGUAUCAUAGCCAGUGAGAUUUAUCCAAGGCUCGAUUAUUGCUAAACGGAAAAAAAAGAAAGCUGAGUCCCAGUGAGAGUUGUCUUCUGUACACAGGUCUAUGCAGGGAGCUUUGGGGAAGUAGUGGCUGGAGCCCUGAGGUGAGAAGGGAGGACAAUAUUUGCAUCUGGCGGACAUGCC
RNAcentral lists this small nuclear RNA (196 nucleotides) under Capra hircus (goat). Its description in RNAcentral is "U4 spliceosomal RNA (ENSCHIG00000004706.1)". The record is from RNAcentral. Lineage: Eukaryota; Metazoa; Chordata; Mammalia; Artiodactyla; Bovidae.